GCGUAGGUGGCUCAGUUGUUAAGCACCUGACUUGUAAUCUGCAGGUGCUGGGUUCGAAUCCCACCAUGUACC
Non-coding RNA from Papilio machaon (common yellow swallowtail), 72 nucleotides. The record is from Rfam. NCBI's taxonomy places the organism in Eukaryota, Metazoa, Arthropoda, Insecta, Lepidoptera, Papilionidae.